CCGCAAGAGGCGCGGUGAUAAACUGUUCGUUCUUUCGCCAUUACCCACCAGGCACGUUAAUGGCGACAGUCGAGGGAUUUUAAAAACUCACUGUUUUUCAAGAGUUGAAAUAAUAAUAGCGUGUUAAAAAUCCCAGAGGACAAGGGUCAGACGUGGCUCGUUUUAAGGGUGGAAUUUUUCAAAUAUAUACUCAUUAAUCCUUCGAAUUUCACGGAAUCCCAAGCGCUCCGAAUCGACGUACCAAAUAUCUAUAACACUCCAUGCACAUUCCAACCGAUAAUGCGACGUUAUACAGCUGACGAUCAUUCCGAAAGGAGCAAAUACAUGCACGAUAAAAAGAAAAGAAAACAUUUUAGUUGUUCUACGAGACACGAAGGAUAUACUUCGAGUAUCGUCCCCCAAGGAAUUUUACGUCUGCCUCCUUCCUUUCCAUCUCUUUUCUCUUUCCCUCAGUCUGGAUGGAAAGAAAGUAGUCUGCCCCAUAUCUUACAGACACAUGCACGGUGCAUUCGAUGUCAACUGUAUUCCCCGAAGCACUCCCAUUUUCUCGUGGGUCAAAGCCACGGAGCGACGAGUGCUGGACACUGAAACGAGACAUUGAGCUGAGAACUUGGACUAGGCCAAGCGAAUGGAUGUCAAACACUUGAAGAAGAUGCGAGGCAAAACAGCGGAAAAGAUGGAUGAUCGGAGGCACGCGUUCGGUUAAUCUCGAAAUUGUCAUGAUCGAUUUUCCUUCAGUUUAAAGAAAACGAAUUCGGAAGGAUGUGGAAGAGCCCAUGGAGAGAGAUUAGUUAUUCAAUUGAGUGGCAUCAAGCCUGGAGCUGCACUGUGGUGCAUUGUUCUCGUUUUUGUGUGAAAACCAAUAACAGCUCUUUAACGAUGAGAAGAGGGCUGCAGCCAAAGGACGCGAAAGAAACUGGUUAGCCACGAGCUCCGUUCCGUGCGAAUACAUUUCUGACGUUUGCCCAUGGGAGAAGUACAAUUCAAGAUGCAGAGCGAGCACAACACCAAUGACGUGACAUCGAAAAAGGAGAGGGAACGAAUGUUGUUGCAUCGUAUCAGCAUCGAGCCAGAAACGAUGAACCAUUAUCCGAAGUGUCAUGACAAAAAAAAAGCUCUCUGCGGAGUCGAGCAGCUUCGCAUACGUUCAGGUACGAUUUCGGUAUGGAAUACCGGAUAACGGUGGUGGAAACAACGAUUUACGGUGUUGGAAAGGAGGAGGUACUCGGCGCGAGGCGAGGAACACAAUCGAGCGUUAUUUCGAGCUCUUUGUUAUCACUCGCGGCCCACGGUACACCAGGGAAAAUGCUAACGAGACUCACCUGACAAAGGCGUAACCCUUGUCUUUGAAGACUCGAAUCUCUUGGAUAGAGCCAAAGGGUGAAAAGGUCUUCUGCAUGAGCUCUUCCUGUCUCCGUGAUCGAUCACGUGCUUCUCGAUCGCGUUCAACGAAACCAGCCACAAAGAGUCUACAGCACACGGACGACAGGACUCUGUGUAUAAGCAGAAAAUAAGAGAGGACCGAUUUACGCGAAGAGAAAGAGAGAAGUCGCGGGAGUCGCGCACCUGUUGAGCCCUUUUGCGUGAGAACAGCGCCGCCCAUACGGUACAAAGGAUUCAGCAGCUAUAUCAGCGAAAGGAGUCUCGUCUUGCGCGGAAAUACAUAUACCACUUUCGUGAUGAUCUAAAAGGACCUGGAGUACGGUUGAUGGAAACAUUUUGGUCACGGACGACGUGGUACGAAAUCAGACAUCGUCGAGCCGUGAGAAAUCAGACAUUCGGGUCUGACGGAAACGAUUCAUAUUGUCGGACUCGGUACUUCCAGUGGAGCUCGCGGAUAUUUUCGUGGAAUGAGAAAAAUGAGGAAAUUUCGAUGCUGAAUGAGAAUAUUCGAGGAGAGUCGGUCUCGGAAGGGAUUGAACAAAAGUAGAAAGCAGAAUGGAGUCAGCACUUUUAACGGGAAUCACUUGGCCUUCUUAUUCCGCAGUCUCAACGUCCAACAACCACCGAAACAACCCCUUUCGUACGUACCGGAGUACGAAAGCUUUCUCGCCCUGUUCUCCUCUAUCGCGAUUCAUUUACCACGAAAUUACAACAAUUUCAUGCAAAGCAGGCCCGGCUCGGGGGUUCGGUAGUUGUGAGGGGCUGGUUCUCGCCUCACUGGCCCUCGGCUUGAAAUCCCGCGAGCGUUUCUACACCCCCGUUCCUUCAACACCUAUACAUACAUCAAUUGAAAUCAUAGAAGAGGAGAAAAAACGUCCGAUGAGAAGAGUUGACGCCGACAGCUAGAGGAGAAAAAGAUUGCGCGCCGAUCGACCGGCUCUAUGCAUUUGAACACGUACAUCGCAACGAGAGCCGUCGAGCCAUCAGCUAACGGCUGAGGCGAAGAAAAACGGCUCUCUUCCCCAGCGCUCUGCGAGCUCGAGAAAAAAACACAAAGAAACUACAGAAAGAAAAACAAAGGGGGCCUAUUUUAUGCAAAUGCAUGCCGCGACUUCUUGUCUCCUUCGCCCCCAUCAUCCCCCUC
Molecule: long non-coding RNA, 2527 nt
Organism: Venturia canescens
Lineage: Eukaryota; Metazoa; Arthropoda; Insecta; Hymenoptera; Ichneumonidae
Exons: 10
Source: RefSeq, a predicted model, not a curated record